This 374-nucleotide ribosomal RNA is filed under the name uncultured bacterium. RNAcentral describes it as "bacterial SSU rRNA". It matches the Rfam family "Bacterial small subunit ribosomal RNA", at positions 28 to 418 of the family's 1533-position model. The record is from RNAcentral.
GAUGAACGCUGGCGGUACGUCUGACACAUGCAAGUCGAACGGUAAGCCACCUUCGGGUGGCCUAGAGUGGCGAACGGCUGAGUAACACGUAGGAACCUACCCCUCAGUUCGGGAUAACGGGACGAAAGCCCCGCUAAUACCGGAUAAUAUCGAAAGAUUGAAAGGUUUAUCUGCUGAGGGAGGGGCCUGCGGGCUAUUAGCUUGAUGGUGGGGUAACGGCUCACCAUGGCGAUGAUGGCUAGCUGGUCUGAGAGGAUGAUCAGCCAGACUGGGACUGAGACACGGCCCAGACUCCUACGGGAGGCAGCAGUUCAGAAUCUUGCACAAUGGGCGAAAGCCUGAUGCAGCGAUACCGCGUGGGUGAAGAAGGCCUU